This 184-nucleotide unclassified non-coding RNA is filed under the name fungal sp. RNAcentral describes it as "partial internal transcribed spacer region". The stretch from base 1 to 46 matches the Rfam family "Eukaryotic small subunit ribosomal RNA", at positions 1786 to 1831 of the family's 1831-position model. The record is from RNAcentral. Lineage: Eukaryota; Fungi.
AAGUCGUAACAAGGUUUCCGUAGGUGAACCUGCGGAAGGAUCAUUACCAAAUAUGUGUGAUUGUGCUUUUGCACGAUCAUAUAAGUGCUUGCACCGUGGUGCAUUGCAUAAACGCUUUAUUGUCAUAAUUUUUGUGAUCAUUUAAUAUCAAAAAUCACUUUUAACAAUGGAUCUCUAGGCUCUU